GAUGAACGCUGGCGGCGUGCCUAAUACAUGCAAGUCGAGCGAACGGACGAGAAGCUUGCUUCUCUGAUGUUAGCGGCGGACGGGUGAGUAACACGUGGAUAGCCUACCUAUAAGACUGGGAUAACUUCGGGAAACCGUAGCUAAUACCGGAUAAUAUUUUGAACCGCAUGGUUCAAAAGUGAAAGACGGUCUUGCUGUCACUUAUAGAUGGAUCCGCGCUGCAUUAGCUAGUUGGUAAGGUAACGGCUUACCAAGGCAACGAUGCAUAGCCGACCUGAGAGGGGGAUCGGCCACACUGGAACUGAGCCACGGUCCAGGCUCCUACGGGAGGCAGCAGUAGGGAAUCUUCCGCAAUGGGCGAAAGCCUGACGGAGCAACGCCGCGUGAGUGAUGAAGGUCUUCGGAUCGUAAAACUCUGUUAUUGGGGAAGAACAUAUGUGUAAGUAACUGUGCACAUCUUGACGGUACCGAAGCAGAAAGCCACGGCUAACUACGU
This 496-nucleotide ribosomal RNA is filed under the name uncultured bacterium. Its description in RNAcentral is "partial 16S ribosomal RNA". It matches the Rfam family "Bacterial small subunit ribosomal RNA", at positions 28 to 506 of the family's 1533-position model. The record is from RNAcentral.